RNAcentral lists this ribosomal RNA (420 nucleotides) under uncultured bacterium. RNAcentral's name for it is "bacterial SSU rRNA". It matches the Rfam family "Bacterial small subunit ribosomal RNA", at positions 360 to 773 of the family's 1533-position model. The record is from RNAcentral.
AAUAUUGGACAAUGGGCGCAAGCCUGAUCCAGCCACGCCGCGUGAGUGAUGAGGGCCUUCGGGUCGUAAAGCUCUGUGGGGAGGGACGAACCGCCGGUGGUGCAUAGCCAACGGCAUGACGGUACCUCCUUAGCAAGCACCGGCUAACUUCGUGCUAGCAGCCGCGGUAAGACAGAGGGUGCAAACGUUGUUCGGAAUUACUGGGCGUAAAGCGUGUGUAGGCGGUCCACUAAGUCGGGUGUGAAAGCCCUGGGCUCAACCCAGGAAGUGCACUCGAAACUGGCGGGCUAGAGUAUCGGAGAGGUUGGUGGAAUUCUCGGUGUAGAGGUGAAAUUCGUAGAUAUCGAGAGGAACACCGGUGGCGAAGGCGGCCAACUGGACGAAUACUGACGCUGAGACACGAAAGCGUGGGGAGCAAAC